Corvus hawaiiensis (hawaiian crow) is the source of this 4546-nucleotide long non-coding RNA. RefSeq lists it as uncharacterized. The record is from RefSeq and is a predicted model, not a curated record. The transcript has 3 exons. Lineage: Eukaryota; Metazoa; Chordata; Aves; Passeriformes; Corvidae.
UACAGCAAAAGAUGCAGCCUUGACCAACUUCUACCAGGCUUCUCUUCUUGUGCCAUGGCUUGGAAAGGACUGUGUGUAAGACAUGACAUCUGCACCAAAAGGGAGCUUCUUUUCCAAGACUUGGAAACCCAAAAUUGCUAUAAGGAGAUUCAAGCCCAAAAAUGUCCACAUUGAGUGAAUAUUACCCCAAAAUGUAGUGAUGAAGCUCUGAUAGGCUGUACUGGGAACAUCCAGAUAACUCCCAAAGACUAGAAGAUUGCUAAAGCCAAGCAAACCUUAUCUUACUGCUUUUCUACUCUGUCAAUGGGAAGGCUGAUGACUGAAAGAACAGGAAAGGAGUCUGCAGGUACUAACCUCAGAGGCUGUGAUCAUGGUAGUCCUUAAAUAAAGAACAUGCUGAGUAUUCAUGAGAAGAGAACAGGGGAGGAAGCAGCAGCUGGAAGAGCGAAUAAAAAUUAGCUACACAGAUUGGCAUUUUCAAAAUUUCUUAUCAGAUUAGAAAUAUGUGUUGACAGACUUGUGAUUGUUCAUCAUUCAUACCUAUUUGGGAACCUCACCACAAGGGCUGAAGGGGAUCAGCUUGGAUAGGUGGAAGAACAACAUAAAACCUGACAUUCACUUGCCUGGUAAGGAGAACUUUCCACCCAGGAGCACAGACUUUCCUCAGUGGUUGCAGCAUUUGCUGUGUCACUGAACCCAUCUGCUGCACAACUGUCAGGAUCGUGGCACUUCAAACACACAGGGGCAGAAAUACCAGUCCUUUGACAUGUACUUACUCAGCAGAUGGAAAGUCACAGAACCAAAAGACAUCAGGAACCAGAAGCCCUGGGUCUGGAGAAUACAAAACUAUUGCAACUACAAAUGCUUCUGAAUCUUAGCUGGUUUCUUCCUACUACUUAAGAGACCAAUGGAAAGAAGUAGCUACAGCAAUGUGUUCAAAGGUCAGGAAAAGCCUGGCUCUAUGUUUGAAGCAAUUCAUAGAAGAACAGCAAUGAAAAUCAAAGGAAGAAGUGAAAUGGUUUCCACUUUUACUCCAGGUCACCAGGAGAGGCUCAACCAAGCAGUGAUUUAACAUUAACGCGUAUCAGCGCAUAUGGACGAUUCCAAUCAAGCCAGGAACUGUUUUUUCUAUGGCCAUAAGGAAAGUUAACUAUUGUAACCCAAGUCAUCUGACAUUUUUUUACCAAGGAGCAGAAUUUCCUUUCUUCUUCUGGAGAAGUUUUCGUUUUGCAAGGGAGUGUGUUUACGAUAGAUUCCCACAUCAGAAAUGGUGACAUCAGUGAUUCCUUUUGCAAUUUCCCAUCAGUACCCUGGGGACAGGGCUGGCCUUCCUUUGGCAGUGUGUGCUGAAAUCUGGGGACAGCAGGUGCAGUAACACACCAAGUGCAAGUGCUUUCACCAGGCUUUAAAGUCAGGGAAAGGAAAGGAGUUACCUCAAUGCACAGCCUGUUCCAGGGUCUGCAUGGCCUUAAUUUCAUGAAGCUCAGUGACAAUGUUGUAGUCCAGCAGUGACAGAAAGCAAGGAGUCUGUUGCAAUAGCCAUUGUAAUGGAAGGAAUCUUCAUAUUCAAUCCCAAACUAAGCAGAAACUAAGGUAUUUUUAAGUGUGCAGCCUGCAAGUCAUUCCUGUGGUUGCAAAGAGAAGAUGUGUGGAUUCACUGGCUGGGUGCAAAUUCUCUCAUCCCCCACUCCUUAGUGCUCCUUCUUUCUUUUCAGGUCCUGGGGACAAGCUGGGGCUGCCAGAUUAACCCCUUCCCAGACUUUGGGCUCUGCAGCCCCAGGAGGUCUAAUCCUCAUCCUUUCUCUCCCUUGAGGCAGGAGAUGGAAAGAAUCCGUGUUGUUCCACGAUCUGCAUGUGUUUGCAGUGCUGGAAGAUCUGUGUAACUCCCUAUGCUGGUGAACCUGCUACAGGUGGCCUGGGCACGUGGGCUGUCUGUAGUUUAAUUUCUAAGGGUAUGAGUUGUCUGGCAAGUGAAAAAUUGGCUUUUCACUAAGUUACACUAAAUAUUACUCUUAUCUUCUUUUUCUUUUUCUUUCCUGCAUGUGCGGGGGAUGUCCCUGUCAGGAUAAGACACACUUCACAUGAUGCCUGGAGAUUUAAAAACACCGUGAAGAGAGAUUGGGCUUUCUUAGGAUUUAAUGAACAACUUGUUGAGGUCAUUUGGCUCUCCAUGAUUUAGCAAACUGAUAAGUGAUUAAGGAUAAUUUUCCAGUUAGCUUGCUGCUACUCUUUAAAGUGUCUGAUGAACAUCAGCAGUUGAGCUGAUUGAUAACUAAUCAUCUAGUUUGGCACUGCUAAUUGCUUGUUUAGCCAUCAAGCUCCCUGUUUGUUAGAUUUUCAGGUGGCCAUCAGAAACAGCUUUCUGAUCACUCGGUCAUGACUUAGAUGUAGUGAGAUCAAUCAGCUGUUAAUGAAGUAUUUUCAAACCCAAUCUGUAGAAAGUCAUUUACAUUCCCAAGCAAGGACUAGAAUUUCAGUGAGCUUUAGACUAUUAUAUGACUUUCCCAUGGAGACACCCCUCACCAGAGGGGCUUUAAAGGUUUGUUACCAAGAUGAUUGGAGCUAAUCCUGCUGAGGUUGCCCGGGUGGAAAGCAUGUGUGUGUAUUUCAGUAUCCCCACAUACCAUGUGUUUCUCUUCUGUGCAGUCAGGAAGCAGAUUUGUCCUCCUGCCAUGUAUAUUCAUCAGGUGUUAUCUGACCUCGGGUCCUACUUAAGGAAACAUCUAACUGAAGUUGAUGGAAGACUUGCCCAAGUAAUGACAUCAUUAACAGGACUUGUGAUAAAAGUGGAGUGUCACCCACAGUGAUUGCACGGAGCAUUGUAUGAUAGCUGGGAUGUCUGUAAAAUCUGUACAAAAUUAACUACAGCUGCACAAUAGGUGAUUAAACUAGUUUUCUCAUGCUGUAACUCAGCCCUCUUUAAUACUAAUUUAAGAAUUCUUUCUUUUAUAGGACUGUAAUAUGCAUGAGCCCAUUCCUUUCCACCCUCCCUAUUACUCUACAGCAAUGCCUUAUUUAAUACCCUGCUCUUAUUUUUAUUGCUUCUAGCAGUCAAUCUCCUCUCCUCGGCCUCUGUCCUGGGUAGCUUAGCCAAGAAAUGGGGAACUUCUUGGUGGGGAAAGUGAUGGAAAAGGAACAGAACCACUCCAGACUUGUUGAACUAGUCCCACAGCAGAAGUAGCUUUCCCAGAGAAAGAUUGGCACAGGCAGUUUCCCUUCUGUAUGAUUUUUCUUCGCACCUCUUAACCUGCUUAUGUGGAGUCCAUGUAGAACAGGAUUAUGUCACUUCUUUAGUCUCCUCAGGGCCUUUUGUGGGAUAAGAGGAAAUUCCUACCAAGGCUUUGUGAUGCUGGUCUGUAACUUUUGCAAAACCUGGGAAAUUUGAGGGAUGAGGUCAAGUGCCCUUUGAUCUGGUAACCCCUUCAGAAGCUCUCCCUGAAGGAGAGGAGAAAUUGUUAGAUCUACUUUAGGUAAAAUCCUGAUGUAGUUCAUCUCAAGUGAACUGGCCAUGCUGGAUGAGAGCUCAGGAUCUGUUUCUUAUAGAGUGAGAAAUGUCCUAUAAAAAGGGACCAUAAACAAAGCAAGUUUUCAAAGAAAUUGGAUGCAGUGCAUCAACAUUGCCAGUGCUUAACAUCAAAAGCUCAUGAAUUUGUCACCACAAGAACAAAACCAGAGCAUUUUGGGUUCUCUUCCCAUCAGUGAAUAGUCUGAGGUCCCUGGGAGUGGUUCUCAAUUGUGAUCUGAGGAAUACGAGCUGGAGAAUUUCACUGUGUGAUUCCUGAGUCGAGCUCAAAAGCCCUGCAGACCACCUACUGCCUAACAGGACCAUUUCAUUCAAGAUGUUAUUCCACCUUGAAUUAAAGACUUCAAAUUAGAAAGAUCUUAAUAUAUCCCAAAGUUAAUUGAUGCAUUGGUUGACUGUAGGCAGGUACUCAAAGGUAAAAUCUACUUUUUGCUUUUUAACCUUUGGGAUUAAUCUUUUAAGAUUUUCUUCAUGACUGUAAGGAUUAGAGACCUCUUUUAAUUUUUAAUGAGCUUGAAAUUUUUAUAUAAUAACAAGCUGGUGGGACAUGAGACUUUGAACAACAUAUUUAAUAAUAGAAGACAGCAGUAAAAUGGUUGGAACGGUGGAUACGGCCGGGUUACCUCAUCUUUCCAGGAGCAGAAGGUAAUAAGUGAGUUAUAUUGUUUUUACUAGCAAAUGACUGAAGAUAUUUUUCUGGAAAAUAAAUUCAGCCCCAUCAAAGAGACUCCUAUCUAGUGAAAUGAAACAGAUUUAAAAUAGAUUUAUCCAUUAAAACAUUGAGCUAAGCUUCCCUUGGUCCCUACUGAGCAGAAGACGCCUGUCCCAUCCACCUCUAAUCUGAGAAGCUCAUCGUGUCUCCCAGACCUAUUUGCAGCGAGACACUUGUGGGAGAUGAAACCUUGGCAUGGGAGGUUGCUUGUCUCCGAGGGCUGUUGGAAGAGGAGCAGAAUUCCUUGUCUGCCUCAAUCCACCCACGCAAACAGGAAGGAGGCCGUGCCAGAUGAUAAGUCCAACUUACCA